CAAUAGCGUAUAUUAAAGUUGUUGCAGUUAGAACGCUCGUAGUCGGAUUUCGGGGCGGGCCGACCGGUCUGCCGAUGGGUAUGCACUGGUCGGCGCGUCCUUCCUUCCGGAGACCGUCCCUACUCUUAACUGAGCGGGGGCGGGAGACGGGACUUUUACUUUGAAAAAAUCAGAGUGUUUCAAGCAGGCAGCUCGCUCUUGCAUGGAUUAGCAUGGGAUAAUGAAAUAGGACUUUGGUGCUAUUUUGUUGGUUUCGAACACCGAAGUAAUGAUGAGAAGGGACAGUCAGGGGCACUCGUAUUCCGCCGAGAGAGGUGAAAUUCUCAGACCAGCGGAAGACGAACCACUGCGAAANCANNNGCCAGGGAUGUUUNCACNGA
Molecule: ribosomal RNA, 380 nt
Filed under: uncultured eukaryote
Lineage: Eukaryota
Description: partial 18S ribosomal RNA
Rfam family: Eukaryotic small subunit ribosomal RNA
Source: RNAcentral